CUGCUGCCUUCCGUAGGAGUCUGGUCCGUGUCUCAGUACCAGUGUGGGGGACCUUCCUCUCAGAACCCCUACGCAUCGUCGCCACGGUGGGCCGUUACCCCGCCGUCUAGCUAAUGCGCCGCAUGCCCAUCCUCUUCCGAUGAAUCUUUCCUCGAUCUCGGAUGCCCGAAACCGAUAUACGCGGGAUUAGCCUCCCUUUCGGAAGGUUGUCCCCCUGAAGAGGGCAGGUUGCAUACGUGUUACUCACCCGUGCGCCGGUCGCCCGG
This 266-nucleotide ribosomal RNA is filed under the name uncultured bacterium. RNAcentral's name for it is "partial 16S ribosomal RNA". The record is from RNAcentral.